Molecule: ribosomal RNA, 836 nt
Filed under: Ramicandelaber taiwanensis
Lineage: Eukaryota; Fungi; Kickxellomycota; Ramicandelaberales; Ramicandelaberaceae
Description: eukaryotic LSU rRNA
Rfam family: 5.8S ribosomal RNA (bases 332-485)
Source: RNAcentral
GGAAGUAAAAGUCGUAACAAGGUAUCCGUAGGUGAACCUGCGGAUGGAUCAUUACCAAUUUUAUAUUAUUAGUGUUGUAUCCGCGACUUUAUGUCGUGGGUCACAACUACUACUAUUGUAAACGUUGAACUAGAUCAUUGGUUGUGGAUUGCUUGGGAAUGGACGAAGCGACAAGCCUCUUCCGGACAGGCAAACCCCACACCGAUAACCUUUUCAUAUAUACUAUAACUAGUACAUACUACAAACAAACAAACAAAAACAAAAGCUAUAAUAGGAUUUAACUAUAAGUUGAGUGGGUAAAAGCCUCGACUUUAAAACAAAUAACUAUUACAACUUUCAGCAAUGGAUCUCUAGGCUCUCGCAUCGAUGAAGAACGCAGCGAAUUGCGAAACGUAAUGUGACUUGCAACCCUCGUGAAUCAUCGAAUCUUUGAACGCAUCUUGCACUAUUCGGCUUCCCCGGAUAGUAUGCCUGGUUGAGUGUCUGUGUAUCUCUCCUAAUCUAAUGUUUUUGUGAUAUUAGAAUAGGGACUUGGGGUCUUAAUCGUCGGAAUAUACUUUCAUUAGUAUAACCCGGUGAACCCUUUAAAUAUAGUAAGCUCCCAUCUUUUUUGGAAAUACGCAAACUUGGGGAUGGCGUCGUAGCAAUCACUUUUAGUAUUGUCGAAACGCCUACUACCACUCCUAAUCUGCGGUGCUAAUCCAUUCGAGUUUAUGGGCGAAGCUUGACGACUGGCAAAGUGCCAUGCUCCACUUCAAUUCGGAGUACACGAACAAUAAUGACCUCAACUCAGGUAGGACAACCCGCUGGACUUAAGCAUAUCAAUAAGCGGAGGA